UAAUACCGCAUAACGUCGCAAGACCAAAGAGGGGGACCUUCGGGCCUCUUGCCAUCGGAUGUGCCCAGAUGGGAUUAGCUAGUAGGUGGGGUAAAGGCUCACCUAGGCGACGAUCCCUAGCUGGUCUGAGAGGAUGACCAGCCACACUGGAACUGAGACACGGUCCAGACUCCUACGGGAGGCAGCAGUGGGGAAUAUUGCACAAUGGGCGCAAGCCUGAUGCAGCCAUGCCGCGUGUAUGAAGAAGGCCUUCGGGUUGUAAAGUACUUUCAGCGGGGAGGAAGGGAGUAAAGUUAAUACCUUUGCUCAUUGACGUUACCCGCAGAAGAAGCACCGGCUAACUCCGUGCCAGCAGCCGCGGUAAUACGGAGGGUGCAAGCGUUAAUCGGAAUUACUGGGCGUAAAGCGCACGCAGGCGGUUUGUUAAGUCAGAUGUGAA
Molecule: ribosomal RNA, 439 nt
Filed under: Escherichia coli
Lineage: Bacteria; Pseudomonadati; Pseudomonadota; Gammaproteobacteria; Enterobacterales; Enterobacteriaceae
Description: bacterial SSU rRNA
Rfam family: Bacterial small subunit ribosomal RNA
Source: RNAcentral